Molecule: ribosomal RNA, 222 nt
Filed under: Triticum aestivum (bread wheat)
Lineage: Eukaryota; Viridiplantae; Streptophyta; Magnoliopsida; Poales; Poaceae
Description: partial small subunit ribosomal RNA
Source: RNAcentral
AUGCCCACCCCGCCUCAUAUUGUGCCGGAAUGGUAUUUCCUACCAAUCCAUGCCAUUCUUCGCAGUAUACCUGACAAAGCGGGAGGUGUAGCCGCAAUAGCACCAGUUUUUAUAUCUCUCUUGGCUUUACCUUUUUUAAAGAAAUAUAUGUGCGUAGUUCAAGUUUUCGACCGAUUCACCAAGGAAUAUUUUGGUUGCUUUUAGCGGAUUGCUUACUACUAG